AAACUGAUAUUGCUUUGAACGUGAUGUCAUUGGUCCCUGCGCGAUCUUGACCAAAAUACGAUUGUCAGUGGCUAUACUUCGUCUAUUUGUAUCAUGAGCACAACAGUAAAAUGGGCACGGUGUAGUCUUACUGCAGUAGCGCCUCCACUGUGUCGUGUGAUAAGAUUAUGCACGUACAUGCAGUAAGAUGGCGAAUUUCUCAACUUAGUAAUUAUUCCGGACGUGUCGUAUAGGUACAAAUCAAUGCAAAUAAAUGCGUUCAGAGCAGUCCACUGUUAGUUUAGCAAGGAACAAUUUUUUACAAAUAUAUAUAAUUAUAUAUUGCUCAUCGUAUCCUCGAAUUCCUGUUGCGCUUUAAACCAACAAGGAUAGGUGGCUGUAUUAUAAACGAGAUGGAUCAAUCGAUUGUGACCAUAUCAUCAGACGAAGAUGAAGAACUUGUUUAUAAGAUUCCCUUGGAAAUGUUUCAGAAUACUAAGGUGUCAUCUGAAUCUGUCAAAGAAGAAAUACUUUUAGAUGAUGAUGAGGAGGUCUGUUCAGAUUCCCAGAAACGGAAGGCAUCUGAUCGGAUUGAUAUCUCAGCAACAAAGAACAAACGACCUGGAAAGAGAAUUAAACUAUCCACCAGCACUGAUGAUGUCAAAAAUACUAAUGAUGUGGUCAAAGAUAUAACAGACACCUGCAGCUUGGAAAAGUUGAAGUUGCAAAAUAAUGAUAAGUCUAUAAACACAGUUAAAUCAGACAAAGAAAAGACAAACAAUAGUACAGAAAACUCAUGUAAUGGUUUAGUAAAACCACAAUUAAUUGUCAAAAAGAGAAUACCAUGCGUGAAUGUGUCUGCAGUGAAAGGUGAUGCAUUUGCAAUGCUUGUUCAUCAGUGUUUGCAAAACGAUUCAUCUUCCGACAUGAAGAAGAUAAUAAAAAACCUACAAAAACACUAUGAUCGGUUAGAUCCAGAUUAUGCCAACUCGGAGGAUUUCAUUGCACUUUUGACUGAAACUAAAAAUAGUAUUUCAAAAAGUCAAGAGGGUAUGUUCAGGAAUCUUCUCGAAGUAAGGAAUACAAUUAUUCAUAGGCGUAAGAAAAGCACCUUAUGUGAUGGGACCAAUCAAAAUAGCUCAAAGACAUCUAUAAAUAAUAAACCAAUGAAAGUAGGCGACGUAACCCAAGCGGAUGAAGAUGAGGAGUGUAAUCAAGAAGGAAGAAUCCGAAAAAUCGAGCACAAAAUGGCAAUUUGUAAUAAGCGAAUAAAAGCGUUGGAACAAACGGAAGUGGAUUUCGACAAUGAAUCGGAUAGCCAUUACAUGAAACUACAGAGGUAUAAAGAGAGAAUGGUGGAACUCUAUGCCAAAUAUUGUUCACUAACUGGUGAUAAUGUGGACGCAGGUCGUGCCUAUCUCCGUCCAAAAUAUCUAUCUGUAACGAAUAUUACGUCCCUGGACCAGGCAAUAACAAGUUUUGUGAAUUCAAAAAUUUCAAAAAUUACGAAAAAUUGUAAAAAACGUACCAGGCACACAGCAUUGACAAAUGCCCUUAUAUUCCCAAAUUACAAGGAUAUCUUUCAGUGUGUUGAAAAGUGUAAUGAGGAUAAGAAGUUAGGCAUGAGCAAUGAAGAAAAACAGAAAAUUGCAAAGAAGGCAUUCACCGAUAUCGGAAUAUACUUGCAGCGUGUGCGGCAGAACGACUUCUGGGAUACAUUUUCUCUCCACCUGGAGAACCAAGACGAGGAUCCGGCUGUUACAAACGAGGAGCUCUCUGAAAAGUUGCAAAUGAACCAACGUUCUGCUGAGAAGAAAUUAGCAGAAGUGAUCAACCAUUUUGCAGAAAUUCAAGAAAAAGCAGAUCUUCAUCGGAAAGAAAAAGGCCUAGAUAAAAACGCAGAUGAGAGUGAACAAUCUGAGGAUUCUAAUUUAAUUGACGAAGAUAAUGAAGAUAACGAGAGUGAGGAUGAUGACGAAGAAGAGGACGACAACGAAAAAGAGAACAAUAAAUUACAAGAUAAUAAUGAUACUGAUAAUGAUACUGAUAAAGAUGGCAGUCCUGAUACCGUAACGGAGGACGACCAGGAUGAUACAUUUGACAAGGAUAAAACAAUGCAAACCAACAAGAUUAAUAAACAAAAUUUAAUAAAAGAAAGUCAUAAUGAUGCGUUAGAGGAAGAGGAUAGCAUAGCAGCUGCAAGCAAACCGGAAACUAAUGAAUCGCACGAGAAGGAAGAUAAUAAUCAACGGGAAGUAGUAGAAGAGUUGAACGAAGUAAAAGCGACGAAUGUUGAAGCUUGCAUGGUGGAUUUAACAGAGAGUAACAACCUUCCUAUCCAAGAGGAAGAGAAGCCUUUGUUACGGGUGAGAUCUUUUGCGAAACCACCAUGUUCCUGGAAUUACAGCACGGAACAGAUGCCUAAGAAACCGAGUGCGAGCACAGUACCGCUCGUGACUAUCAACAAUGAGACUCCUGGUGGAAGUCAGAAACUGACAAUAGAUCAGUCGAAAAAAACGAGUCCUGCUCAGUGAUGCGAACCUCAUUUUUGCAUCAUAUGACUGUUCCGUUACGAUUACAGAACUAAUAAAAACAAUGAACGAUUAUACAUAGGCGUAAGGAUGCGUCUCAAGAAAAUGGUAAACUUCAAUUUCACUUUGAAGAAUUCCCAUUCAGGAAAUAAAAUGGCUAGGUAUAAGUGUAAUCAUUGCACUAAAAAAAAACAUGCAUAUCAUCCUUGACGAAUGGGUCAACACUUGGAAAAGUUUUGCCACGGUUGUCCUGAAAUUGUUAAAAACAAACUUCAUCCUAAGCUGAAACACUCACAAAAGAAGAGAAGGCAUCAAGAAGUGUUCAAUGAUAGCAGUGAUGAAGAAAAAUUGCUGCCAUCAAAAUCAUGCCGAUAAUACAGAUCAGCAGAGUACAGUGCAGAUAAUGAAAUAUUUGUAGAAGACAGUAUACUGGUUCAGAAACUGGACCAUCCUCUUGCAAGUAACACCAAAGGAAAUAUCAGUCAGGUAACUCGAUAAUGAAGCUCUGUGAUACGAUGUCUGCAACGGAGAUAUUAAACUUUCGAAAAUUUCUUAUCAGAGCUAUUUACGCUUCUGGGACUCCCCUAAACACAUGCUAAGCUAAAUACACUGGAAGGAACUUUUUUCUUCCAUGCGUCCAGCUUUCCCACUGCCUUCAAGACAUCAAGUUUUUAGCAAAUUUAUUUAUGACACUUAUGAAGAUGUGAUGUGAAUUUUAAAAUUGUAAAUGCUAAUUCUCUUGAACUUUCAUGCGUCAAUUGGACGAAUAUCAGUAAUGAAGGGAUAAUGAAUUUUAUUAUCACUACUUCAGAGCUAGUAGUUUUUAAAUCCAUACCAAGAGGCACUGAUUUAGAAAACAGCCCCAUCAUUGCUGAUAGAUGAAGGAAGUCAUCGAAGCCAUAGAACUUUCAGAAGUGCUGGCUGUAUGCACAAAUAACGCUUCAGCUAUGAAAGAUGCUUGCUCGGCGUUUAUCGGAGAUAUAAUGUUAUGGAUGUACUGCUUACGUUCUCAAUCUUCUGAUUGAAAACAUAAUAUCUCUAAACACGAUUGGCACAUUUUAUAUUAGUGUUAAAAAAAAUUAUAGAAGAGAUCAAAAUAUCCCACAUUUGAUCGGCAACUUUUUCUGUGAUUCAAAAAUGAGAUACAAAUAAACAAUCUACGACAAUCAAAUUGUCAAGAAAAUGUUAUGAUUAAAUUGGGAUUUUAAAAAUUAGUCAUAAAUGAGAACAAAUAUUAUUUCUUCAUAAAUAAACAUAAAUAAUGCAUAUUUAAUUAUUUUUAAUUUGUUAUUAGUCAGAGAGAUUAUAGACAAAAAAGAAAUUUCUUAUAAUUGUUCCAUCUUUUAUUAAGAUAUAAUAAAACAUAUUACUUCUUGAUACAUAUUAAGCCAAUGUAAAAACAAAUAAGUAUUUUCUUGUAAUACUAAUUUCAUUUAUUCACAUUCAGUUCAAUCAUUUAAAUUAAAAUUGUCAGGUACAUAAUGUCAAAUGUUUCAAACAUUUCACAUGGACAAAUUGGAUAACAAUUAAGUGUCGACGAACAAAUAUUGUUAUACGGAUCAACAAAACAUUAAGUAGAUUUAUGAAUAAAGAAAUAAAAACUAAUUAAAUACAUAAAGAACAAUUAACUAUUGACCGACGAUUCCUAUACAAUUUAAUAAAAAGUCAAGUGAGUUAAUAAAUCAGUAAAUAAGUGUCACAAACGUCUAUACAUGUAGUAUAUUGUAUAGUAAUAUUGUUGUAAAUGGUGGAGUAUGCUACAUAUCUUUGCAGAAGGAAGACUUAAUGUUGUAUUUGUCUUGUCAAUAAAUGAUUUUCUAGUAAUA
RNA transcript from Cephus cinctus (wheat stem sawfly), 4336 nucleotides. It is a transcript of the gene named protein PFC0760c, with no coding region annotated. Lineage: Eukaryota; Metazoa; Arthropoda; Insecta; Hymenoptera; Cephidae. The transcript has 6 exons. The record is from RefSeq and is a predicted model, not a curated record.